This 66-nucleotide transfer RNA is filed under the name Epicauta tibialis. RNAcentral's name for it is "tRNA-Asp". The record is from RNAcentral. Lineage: Eukaryota; Metazoa; Arthropoda; Insecta; Coleoptera; Meloidae.
AAAAAUUUAGUUAAAUUUAUAACAUUAGCUUGUCAAGUUGAAGUAAAUACUAAGUAUUAAUUUUUG